Molecule: transfer RNA, 89 nt
Filed under: Lactiplantibacillus plantarum
Lineage: Bacteria; Bacillati; Bacillota; Bacilli; Lactobacillales; Lactobacillaceae
Description: Lactobacillus plantarum tRNA-Gln
Rfam family: tRNA
About the family: Transfer RNA (tRNA) molecules are approximately 80 nucleotides in length. Their secondary structure includes four short double-helical elements and three loops (D, anti-codon, and T loops).
Source: RNAcentral
GCGAGCGUAGUUCAACGGUAGAACGGUGCUCCUUUGAAUUGCUAACUAGAUACUAACAGAUGUAGGUUCGACUCCUGCCGCUCGCAUCA